This 85-nucleotide non-coding RNA is filed under the name unclassified sequences. RNAcentral's name for it is "c-di-GMP sequence". It matches the Rfam family "c-di-GMP-II-GCG riboswitch aptamer". The record is from Rfam by way of RNAcentral.
CGAGCGACGGGAGGCGAUGAAGCGCGGUCAAGAUCCCGGUCGCCGUGACCGCGUGGAGCCAGUGGCGAGCCCGACCCACCGCGUC